GGACUGCUGGCGCAACGGUAGCGCGUUCGAUUCCAGAUCGAAAGGUGUACGUGUAAACCAUCUAUAAAAUUAUAGUUCUUUUCUAAUAAUUAUAAUAGUAUCUGUUCGAAUCAGGUGUGGUUCA
RNAcentral lists this transfer RNA (124 nucleotides) under Lachnellula subtilissima. It matches the Rfam family "tRNA". From Rfam's summary of the family: Transfer RNA (tRNA) molecules are approximately 80 nucleotides in length. Their secondary structure includes four short double-helical elements and three loops (D, anti-codon, and T loops). Lineage: Eukaryota; Fungi; Ascomycota; Leotiomycetes; Helotiales; Lachnaceae. The record is from Rfam by way of RNAcentral.